AAUCAAAAGAGAAUACAAUUAGAUUUAAACCUUGAUUGAAAGUUAACCACAAAAAGUGAACAUUCCAAGGUAUUACAAUCAUGAAAGCAUCUCUGCCAUAAGAUAGUUUCUUAUUUGGAACAUCAAACUAAAAAACAAAGGACAACAAAAGAUACUUAAUACUCAAUAGGAACAGGCUGAAGACCAUUAUCAAUUGAAGCUUUCACAGCAUCAAUAACCACUUGAGUUUUCCUACUAAUAAUUGCCCACUUAUUCUCAACUUUAGAAUUCCCAUACUUAAUCCCACCAACCAAAUGAGCAAAUUCCUUAACCAUAAGUGCUUCUUGUGGAAUAUCAUUUUUAACUACAACCUCACUUGGUUUAGGAUUCCAACCAGCAGAAAGUUCAAGAAAAUAAGAAUUUGAACUUGUUCUAAACAAAGCCUCAUUCUCUUCAUUAGGUAUAACAUAAUCAUGAACACGCAAUGACCCUUUUGCCCCUAUUGCUGUUAUAUCCAUAGACAUGUCUGCUAAAAAGGAACAAAAGAAAGUUGCUACUUUGUUAUCUUCCCAUGUCAAAGAAGCUUCACAUGACAGAAGUACCCCUGCUUCAUUGUAUUUUGGUUUGUGUAAUGCUUUUGCUGUUUUGGGUAAUUCGUAGUUUGCAGCCCAUAAGAUUGCUCUAAUGCAGUACCAACCAGUAUCACCUAGUGUUCCUAGUGAAUCAAGAUCUGGUUUUACACGAAUGUCGUUUGCUAGGAAAUAUGGACUCGUCGGGUAUGAAAAUGUAGCAUGUACCUGCAAUUAAAUAUAUAUACUUAACGACACAAACCAUCAUUGACGAACUUAGAUCUAAUUUGACAAUCUUGACAUAGACCAAUUAUUUUUUGUUGUUUGUGUUAAACCAAUGAUAUACUCUGAGCACGCACAAUUAAAUGUGGAGAAAAAGGGUAUCCGUAUAACAUAAUUAUAUCUAUGUACGGUUAAAAUUAAAAGUUCCCUUUUAAUUUUAGUUUUGAGGAAUGAUGUCAAAAGUUGGUAUAAUAUUUGCAUAUAUAAACUACAAUACAAUCCCCCCGCCCCGUCUAAGAUAAAAUAUUUUACAUAUUUAUUGACAAAGUUAUCUUUAAUUCAAUUAAUAAAAUAAAUUUUAGAUAAUUAGUCUAAAUUUUUUUGUUUCUCCAACGAUAAAAGAAUAAUAUUCGUAGUUUUUUCCCUCAAAAAAAAAAAAAAUUUAACAAAAAUUGAAACAUGAGAAAGGAUGGAUGAAUCAUACCGAUUGAAGGGAACCAAAGAGAUUAGGAUCAGAUAUAAACUGAAACAUUUUUUCAGUUCUAGGAUGAUGCAUCCACAUAGUAGCAUCCAUAUACUGCAAUCCAUUAGAUUCACAAGCUUCCAAAAUCUUAUCAAGUUCCCCAACAUUUAAAGCAACUGGUUUCUCAAGCAACAAGUGUUUCUUCUUUUGAGCAGCAAGAACUGCCCAAUGAAGGUGCAAGCUAGUCGGAAGCGGCACAUAGACCGCGUCAACGUCUGGAUCGUCUAAAACGGCGUCGUAUGAACCGUAUAUUUUUGUAUGGGAAGGGAAAUUAUUGGAAGCUGCAUAUUUUGUUGCUUUCUCUAAUGAACGGCUUCCAAUUGCGUAGAGGGUUGAGUUUGGUGAGAGGGUUAUGGCUCUUGAAACUUUUCUUGCUAUCUCUGCACAACCAAGGAUUCCAAAUCUUAUUGGUUUUGUUUCUUCAUGAGCCAUAU
Molecule: long non-coding RNA, 1727 nt
Filed under: Medicago truncatula (barrel medic)
Lineage: Eukaryota; Viridiplantae; Streptophyta; Magnoliopsida; Fabales; Fabaceae
Description: lncRNA gene35502
Source: RNAcentral